UACGGGGGGAGCAAGCGUUGUUCGGAUUUACUGGGCGUAAAGGGCGCGUAGGCGGCGCAACAAGUCCCUUGUGAAAUCUCCGGGCUUAACCCGGAGCGGCCAAGUGAUACUGUCGUGCUAGAGUGCGGAAGGGGCUACUGGAAUUCUCGGUGUAGCGGUGAAAUGCGUAGAUAUCGAGAGGAACACCUGCGGCGAAGGCGGGUAGCUGGGCCGACACUGACGCUGAGGCGCGAAAGCCAGGGGAGCGAACGGG
RNAcentral lists this ribosomal RNA (253 nucleotides) under uncultured bacterium. Its description in RNAcentral is "partial 16S ribosomal RNA". It matches the Rfam family "Bacterial small subunit ribosomal RNA", at positions 524 to 776 of the family's 1533-position model. The record is from RNAcentral.